Molecule: ribosomal RNA, 501 nt
Filed under: uncultured bacterium
Lineage: Bacteria
Description: partial 16S ribosomal RNA
Rfam family: Bacterial small subunit ribosomal RNA
Source: RNAcentral
AUUGAACGCUGGCGGCAGGCUUAACACAUGCAAGUCGAGCGGUGAAAUAUAGCUUGCUAUAUGACCUAGCGGCGGACGGGUGAGUAAUGCUUAGGAAUCUGCCUAUUAGUGGGGGACAACAUUUCGAAAGGGAUGCUAAUACCGCAUACGCCCUACGGGGGAAAGCAGGGGAUCAUUUGACCUUGCGCUAAUAGAUGAGCCUAAGUCGGAUUAGCUAGUUGGUGGGGUAAAGGCCUACCAAGGCGACGAUCUGUAGCGGGUCUGAGAGGAUGAUCCGCCACACUGGGACUGAGACACGGCCCAGACUCCUACGGGAGGCAGCAGUGGGGAAUAUUGGACAAUGGGGGGAACCCUGAUCCAGCCAUGCCGCGUGUGUGAAGAAGGCCUUUUGGUUGUAAAGCACUUUAAGCGAGGAGGAGGCUCCUGUAGAUAAUACCUACAGAGAGUGGACGUUACUCGCAGAAUAAGCACCGGCUAACUCUGUGCCAGCCGCCGCGGUAA